UGAGGAAUCUUGCGCAAUGGGGGAAACCCUGACGCAGCAACGCCGCGUGAGUGAGGAAGGUCUUCGGAUCGUAAAGCUCUGUCGGGUGGAAAGAAAUGUAUGGGGUUAAUAGCCUUCAUACUUGACGGUACCACCAAAGGAAGCACCGGCUAACUCCGUGCCAGCAGCCGCGGUAAUACGGGGGGUGCAAGCGUUGUUCGGAAUUAUUGGGCGUAAAGAGCGUGUAGGCGGCUGAAUAAGUCAGAUGUGAAAUCCCUGGGCUUAACCCAGGAAGUGCAUUUGAAACUAUUCAGGUUGAGUAGGGGAGAGGAAAGGGGAAUUCCUGGUGUAGAGGUGAAAUUCGUAGAUAUCAGGAGGAACACCGGUGGCGAAGGCGACUUCCUGGCCCUAUACUGACGCUGAGACGCGAGAGCGUGGGUAGCAAACA
RNAcentral lists this ribosomal RNA (427 nucleotides) under uncultured prokaryote. RNAcentral's name for it is "bacterial SSU rRNA". It matches the Rfam family "Bacterial small subunit ribosomal RNA", at positions 355 to 774 of the family's 1533-position model. The record is from RNAcentral.